GGUCCUUUGGCGCAAUGGUAGCGCGGUAAGGACCCCUUUCUUCUCUUCAUAUAUAUCCAAGUCAAAAUUCUAAUAUGAUAAUAGUUACUUUCCGGUGGUAAAGGUUCACGGUUCGAGUCCGUGGAGGAUCG
Diaporthe sp. PMI_573 is the source of this 131-nucleotide non-coding RNA. Lineage: Eukaryota; Fungi; Ascomycota; Sordariomycetes; Diaporthales; Diaporthaceae. The record is from the annotation of a GenBank genome assembly.